RNAcentral lists this ribosomal RNA (484 nucleotides) under uncultured bacterium. RNAcentral describes it as "partial 16S ribosomal RNA". It matches the Rfam family "Bacterial small subunit ribosomal RNA", at positions 28 to 507 of the family's 1533-position model. The record is from RNAcentral.
AUUGAACGCUGGCGGCAUGCUUUACACAUGCAAGUCGAACGGCAGCGCGGGCUUCGGCCUGGCGGCGAGUGGCGAACGGGUGAGUAAUGCAUCGGAACGUGCCCAGUAGUGGGGGAUAGCCCGGCGAAAGCCGGAUUAAUACCGCAUACGACCUGAGGGUGAAAGCGGGGGACCGAAAGGCCUCGCGCUAUUGGAGCGGCCGAUGUCGGAUUAGCUAGUUGGUGGGGUAAAGGCUUACCAAGGCGACGAUCCGUAGCUGGUCUGAGAGGACGACCAGCCACACUGGGACUGAGACACGGCCCAGACUCCUACGGGAGGCAGCAGUGGGGAAUUUUGGACAAUGGGGGCAACCCUGAUCCAGCCAUGCCGCGUGCGGGAAGAAGGCCUUCGGGUUGUAAACCGCUUUUGUUCGGGAAGAAAUCCUCUGGGCUAAUACCCCGGCGGGAUGACGGUACCGGAAGAAUAAGCACCGGCUAACUACGUG